AGAGCGAACGCUGGCGGCGUGCUUAACACAUGCAAGUCGAACGCGCAGCAUUCUGUAGCAAUACAGGGUGUGGGCGCGUGGCGAACGGGUGCGUAACACGUGGAUAACCUUCCUUGAGGUGGGGAAUAACCCAGUGAAAAUUGGGCUAAUACCGCAUAACAUCGCGAUGGCACAUGCUGAUGCGAUCAAAGGCGCAAGUCGCCACAAGAGGGAUCCGCGGCCGAUUAGCUUGUUGGCGAGGUAAUGGCUUACAACGACGA
This 260-nucleotide ribosomal RNA is filed under the name uncultured bacterium. RNAcentral describes it as "partial small subunit ribosomal RNA". It matches the Rfam family "Bacterial small subunit ribosomal RNA", at positions 26 to 276 of the family's 1533-position model. The record is from RNAcentral.